RNAcentral lists this ribosomal RNA (440 nucleotides) under uncultured bacterium. RNAcentral describes it as "partial 16S ribosomal RNA". It matches the Rfam family "Bacterial small subunit ribosomal RNA", at positions 338 to 795 of the family's 1533-position model. The record is from RNAcentral.
CCUACGGGCGGCAGCAGUGGGGAAUAUUGCACAAUGGGGGAAACCCUGAUGCAGCGACGCCGCGUGAGUGAAGAAGUAUUUCGGUAUGUAAAGCUCUAUCAGCAGGGAAGAAAAUGACGGUACCUGAUUAAGAAGCCCCGGCUAACUACGUGCCAGCAGCCGCGGUAAUACGUAGGGGGCAAGCGUUAUCCGGAUUUACUGGGUUUAAAGGGUGCGCAGGCGGAAGCGGCAAGUUAGCGGUAAAAUUGCGGGGCUAAACCUCGCCGAGCCAUUGAAACUGCUCUUCUAGAGUGGGCGAGAAGUAUGCGGAAUGCGUGGGGUAGCGGUGAAAUGCAUAGAUAUCACGCAGAACUCCGAUUGCGAAGGCAGCAUACCGGCGCCCAACUGACGCUCAUGCACGAAAGCGUGGGUAUCGAACAGGAUUAGAUACCCGAGUAGUC